UGGUUUAAUUCGAUGCAACGCGAAGAACCUUACCUGGUCUUGACAUCCACAGAAGAAUCCAGAGAUGGAUUUGUGCCUUCGGGAACUGUGAGACAGGUGCUGCAUGGCUGUCGUCAGCUCGUGUUGUGAAAUGUUGGGUUAAGUCCCGCAACGAGCGCAACCCUUAUCCUUUGUUGCCAGCGGUUAGGCCGGGAACUCAAAGGAGACUGCCAGUGAUAAACUGGAGGAAGGUGGGGAUGACGUCAAGUCAUCAUGGCCCUUACGACCAGGGCUACACACGUGCUACAAUGGCGCAUACAAAGAGAAGCGACCUCGCGAGAGCAAGCGGACCUCAUAAAGUGCGUCGUAGUCCGGAUUGGAGUCUGCAACUCGACUCCAUGAAGUCGGAAUCGCUAGUAAUCGUGGAUCAGAAUGCCACGGUGAAUACGUUCCCGGGCCUUGUACACACCGCCCGUCACACCAUGGGAGUGGGUUGCAAAAGAAGUAGGUAGCUUAACCUUCGGGAGGGCGCUUACCACUUUGUGAUUCAUGACUGGGGUGAAGUCGUAACAAGGUAACCGUAGGGGAACCUGCGGUUGGA
Molecule: ribosomal RNA, 580 nt
Filed under: Salmonella enterica
Lineage: Bacteria; Pseudomonadati; Pseudomonadota; Gammaproteobacteria; Enterobacterales; Enterobacteriaceae
Also listed under: 1 other name
Description: bacterial SSU rRNA
Rfam family: Bacterial small subunit ribosomal RNA
Source: RNAcentral